RNAcentral lists this ribosomal RNA (470 nucleotides) under uncultured Alphaproteobacteria bacterium. RNAcentral's name for it is "bacterial SSU rRNA". It matches the Rfam family "Bacterial small subunit ribosomal RNA", at positions 9 to 524 of the family's 1533-position model. The record is from RNAcentral. Lineage: Bacteria; Pseudomonadati; Pseudomonadota; Alphaproteobacteria.
GAGUUUGAUCGUGGCUCAGAGCGAACGCUGGCGGCAGGCCUAACACAUGCAAGUCGAGCGGCCGUAGCAAUACGGCAGCGGCAGACGGGAGAGUAACACGUGGGAACGCGCCCUUCGGUUCGGAAUAACUCAGGGAAACUUGGGCUAAUACCGGAUACGCCCUUACGGGGAAAGAUUUAUUGCCGAAGGAACGGCCCGCGUCCGAUUAGCUUGUUGGUGAGGUAACGGCUCACCAAGGCGACGAUCGGUAGCUGGUCUGAGAGGAUGACCAGCCUCACUGGGACUGAGACACGGCCCAGACUCCUACGGGAGGCAGCAGUGGGGAAUAUUGGACAAUGGGCGCAAGCCUGAUCCAGCCAUGCCGCGUGGGUGAUGAAGGCCCUAGGGUUGUAAAGCCCUUUCAGCGGGAAGAUAAUGACGGUACCCGCAGAAGAAGCCCCGGCUAACUUCGUGCCAGCCGCCGCGGUAAC